UGGGGAAUCUUGCGCAAUGGGCGAAAGCCUGACGCAGCCAUGCCGCGUGAAUGAUGAAGGUCUUAGGAUUGUAAAAUUCUUUCACCGGGGACGAUAAUGACGGUACCCGGAGAAGAAGCCCCGGCUAACUUCGUGCCAGUAGCCGCGGUAAUACGAAGGGGGCUAGCGUUGCUCGGAAUUACUGGGCGUAAAGGGAGCGUAAGCGGACAUUUAAGUCAGGGGUGAAAUCCCGGGGCUCAACCUCGGAAUUGCCUUUGAUACUGGGUGUCUUGAGUGUGAGAGAGGUAUGUGGAACUCCGAGUGUAGAGGUGAAAUUCGUAGAUAUUCGGAAGAACACCAGUGGCGAAGGCGACAUACUGGCUCAUUACUGACGCUGAGGCUCGAAAGCGUGGGGAGCAAACAGGAUUAGAUACCCUGGUAGUCCACGCCGUAAACGAUGAUUGCUAGUUGUCGGGAUGCAUGCAUUUCGGUGACGCAGCUAACGCAUUAAGCAAUCCGCCUGGGGAGUACGGUCGCAAGAUUA
RNAcentral lists this ribosomal RNA (523 nucleotides) under uncultured bacterium. RNAcentral describes it as "bacterial SSU rRNA". It matches the Rfam family "Bacterial small subunit ribosomal RNA", at positions 355 to 896 of the family's 1533-position model. The record is from RNAcentral.